AAGUCGUAACAAGGUUUCCGUAGGUGAACCUGCGGAAGGAUCAUUACUGAAUUGUCAACACGAGUUGUUGCUGGCCCCUCAAACGGGGGCAUGUGCACGCUCUGUUUGCAUCCACUCACACCUGUGCACCUUCUGUAGUUCUAUGGUUGGGGAGGCAAAUGUCUCCCCUCCUGUGGUUCUACGUCUUUACACACACACUGUAACGUAGUCUUAUGGAAUGCAUGCAGCGUUUAACGCAAUACAAUACAACUUUCAGCAACGGAUCUCUUGGCUCUCGCAUCGAUGAAGAACGCAGCGAAAUGCGAUAAGUAAUGUGAAUUGCAGAAUUCAGUGAAUCAUCGAAUCUUUGAACGCACCUUGCGCCUUUUGGCUAUUCCGAAGGGCAUGCCUGUUUGAGUAUCAUGAACACCUCAACCCUCACGGUUUGCCAUGAUGGGCUUGGACUUUGGAGGUUUUGCGGGCUUAUGGCCAGCUCCUCUCAAAAAAAUUAGCUCACCAGUGUAUGGUGGCAUCAUGGGUGUGAUAAUUAUCUGCGCUUGUGGUUGUCUGCCAGGUAACCUUCAACCUUGGAGGUUUGCUGGGGCUUAUAAAUGUCUCUCCUCAGUGAAGACAUCUUUC
This 618-nucleotide ribosomal RNA is filed under the name uncultured fungus. RNAcentral's name for it is "eukaryotic LSU rRNA". The stretch from base 248 to 402 matches the Rfam family "5.8S ribosomal RNA". The record is from RNAcentral. Lineage: Eukaryota; Fungi.